GAUGAACGCUGGCGGCGUGCCUAAUACAUGCAAGUCGAGCGAACGGACGAGAAGCUUGCUUCUCUGAUGUUAGCGGCGGACGGGUGAGUAACACGUGGAUAACCUACCUAUAAGACUGGGAUAACUUCGGGAAACCGGAGCUAAUACCGGAUAAUAUUUUGAACCGCAUGGUUCAAAAGUGAAAGACGGUCUUGCUGUCACUUAUAGAUGGAUCCGCGCUGCAUUAGCUAGUUGGUAAGGUAACGGCUUACCAAGGCAACGAUGCAUAGCCGACCUGAGAGGGUGAUCGGCCACACUGGAACUGAGACACGGUCCAGACUCCUACGGGAGGCAGCAGUAGGGAAUCUUCCGCAAUGGGCGAAAGCCUGACGGAGCAACGCCGCGUGAGUGAUGAAGGUCUUCGGAUCGUAAAACUCUGUUAUUAGGGAAGAACAUAUGUGUAAGUAACUGUGCACAUCUUGACGGUACCUAAUCAGAAAGCCACGGCUAACUACGUGCCAGCAGCCGCGGUAAUACGUAGGUGGCAAGCGUUAUCCGGAAUUAUUGGGCGUAAAGCGCGCGUAGGCGGUUUUUUAAGUCUGAUGUGAAAGCCCACGGCUCAACCGUGGAGGGUCAUUGGAAACUGGAAAACUUGAGUGCAGAAGAGGAAAGUGGAAUUCCAUGUGUAGCGGUGAAAUGCGCAGAGAUAUGGAGGAACACCAGUGGCGAAGGCGACUUUCUGGUCUGUAACUGACGCUGAUGUGCGAAAGCGUGGGGAUCAAACAGGAUUAGAUGCCCUGGUAGUCCACGCCGUAAACGAUGAGUGUUAAGUGUUAGGGGGUUUCCGCCCCUUAGUGCUGCAGCUAACGCAUUAAGCACUCCGCCUGGGGAGUACGACCGCAAGGUUGAAACUCAAAGGAAUUGACGGGGACCCGCACAAGCGGUGGAGCAUGUGGUUUAAUUCGAAGCAACGCGAAGAACCUUACCAAAUCUUGACAUCCUUUGACAACUCUAGAGAUAGAGCUUUCCCCUUCGGGGGACAAAGUGACAGGUGGUGCAUGGUUGUCGUCAGCUCGUGUCGUGAGAUGUUGGGUUAAGUCCCGCAACGAGCGCAACCCUUAAGCUUAGUUGCCAUCAUUAAGUUGGGCACUCUAAGUUGACUGCCGGUGACAAACCGGAGGAAGGUGGGGAUGACGUCAAAUCAUCAUGCCCCUUAUGAUUUGGGCUACACACGUGCUACAAUGGACAAUACAAAGGGCAGCGAAACCGCGAGGUCAAGCAAAUCCCAUAAAGUUGUUCUCAGUUCGGAUUGUAGUCUGCAACUCGACUACAUGAAGCUGGAAUCGCUAGUAAUCGUAGAUCAGCAUGCUACGGUGAAUACGUUCCCGGGUCU
This 1372-nucleotide ribosomal RNA is filed under the name uncultured bacterium. RNAcentral describes it as "bacterial SSU rRNA". It matches the Rfam family "Bacterial small subunit ribosomal RNA", at positions 28 to 1381 of the family's 1533-position model. The record is from RNAcentral.